RNA transcript from Gossypium arboreum, 3064 nucleotides. It is a transcript of the gene named inactive leucine-rich repeat receptor-like protein kinase CORYNE, with no coding region annotated. The record is from RefSeq and is a predicted model, not a curated record. The transcript is spliced from 4 exons. Lineage: Eukaryota; Viridiplantae; Streptophyta; Magnoliopsida; Malvales; Malvaceae.
ACUCACUCACACACUUCGAUGUCUUGCUUUUGUUUUAGCCUCGUGAUACCGAUGCUUCCGCCUGCGUGGCACCCGUCCCCACCCCCACGCUUUGCCUUUGCUCUUUCUUUCUCUAAGGCGGGAAGGCCAUGCCAAACCUUGCCCCCUAAUUUAGUAUUACAGUGAAAACAAACAAAACCAAAAGGUGUUUUUUUUCUUACACAGAUUUUGUUUACAAUUAUACUAUUCAUGAAUGGAAACAGUUAGUGCUUGAUUUGUUUUCUUAUGAUGUUUUGAAACCUAACAAUUAUUGAUCAACAAAAUCGAAAAAAAAAAAAAAGAAAAAGAAAACGAAAGCUUGCUUACUCUGUCACUGGGAAUUAGAAAAAGAAAAGCUUUGUAGUUAUGUUUUCAGAGGGAAAAUAAAAUCUGGGUUUUCAUUUUUUUUUCCUGUAAAAUUCAAUAUCUGAAAGUUUUACUUUUCUCUGUCAAAUGUGUGAGACAUCUCUUGUUAUCUUAUCUGUUGCUUAAGUUGGGAGCAUAUUUUUUUUGAAAAGAAAAUUUUUGUUUGAAAUUUGAAGAUUCGAUUCGUUUGAAGUUUCAGGUGAAGGAACAAAAAUAAAAACGCAGUGACGAAUUUAUUCUUUGCGUCUUUCUUUAUAAGAUUUGCUCGCCAAAGUUGAAGUCCUCUGGAGGGUUUUCUUGUCAUUUUCGUCCAAAAAAGUUGGACACUAAAGAGAGUCCUCCAGUUUUUGAAUUAGAAAAAUUGAAGCUUUUUUCUUUGGUAUUAGUGCAGGGUAAGUAAAUUUAAGUUCCUUUGAGUUCCGUCCUGUUUUUGUAAGAUGCUGAAGAAACGUGGAGCAUCAUUAUGGGGUUUUGGAUAUUGGGUUAUGGUGGUGGCUCUGAAGCUUUAAGAUAAGCAGCAAGAACGGUCCUUGUAUGUGCAUUUGUCUCAUAUUCUCUGCUUUUCUUUCUUUUUUUUUUUUUUGCUUCCAUGGCGAAAAUGAGGGGUUGCAUAGUCACUGUGGCUUUACUCUUGCUGCUACUUCUUUGCUUACACCAAACACCUGUAGAGUGCAAAGAAAGACUCAUUAGACAACUGUCUUCUCGGCCUUCUUCAGCUACAAAGCCUCAAGAAUUCAAGAUUGGGUUCAAAAGGGUAAUUCUCAGCAUUGUGCUGGGAAUUUUAACUGGAUUGAUUGGAGCUAUUCUUUUUGCUUUAUUGAUCAAAAUUGCUGUUCAGUACAUCAAUCAAACCCCAUUCCUUAAAGGUCCUGUUAUAUUUUCUCCCAAAAUAUCUUCCAAGACUCUCCAAUCAGCCCUUGCAAAUGAAAACCAGUUGCUAGGUUCAAGCUCCAACGGGAAGUACUAUAAGACGGUUCUUGAUAACGGGCUCACUGUUGCAGCCAAAGUGCUUGAACCCUUUGACAGUGGUUCCCCGGAGAUGCAGAGCAAGUCGGUGAAGAGAAGGAUACAACAAGAACUGGAGGUUCUUGCUAGUUUGAGGCACAGGCAUUUGAGGAGUUUAAGAGCUUAUGUUCGUGAAUCUGAUAGGUUUUCUUUGGUUUAUGAUUAUAUGCCCAUGGGGAGCCUUGAGGAUGCAAUGAAUGGAGUUAGGGAAAAUCACCUGGAGCUUAGAUGGGAUGUUAGGCUUAGGAUUGCUGUUGGGGUGAUUAAGGGUCUUCAAUAUCUUCACUUCACUUGCGUCCCUCAGAUUUUGCACUACAACUUGAAGCCCACAAAUGUGAUGUUAGAUGCUGAAUUUGAACCAAGGUUGGCUGAUUGUGGAUUGGCUAAGCUCAUGCCAAAUAUAGAUAGGGCAACUUCUGGUUACUGUGCUCCUGAGUGUUUACAGAACUGCAGGUAUACAGAUAAGAGUGAUAUCUUUAGCUUUGGGAUGAUAUUGGGUGUCCUGUUGACUGGCAGAUAUCCCACUGAUUCAUUUUUCCGGGAAGCAGUGAGUGGAGGGAGUUUAGGACAGUGGCUCCGACAUUUACAGCAGGCAGGGGAAGCACACGAAGCUUUAGAUAAAAGUAUUCUUGGGGAAGAAGUAGAGGAAGAUGAGAUGCUGAUGGCAGUGAGAAUUGCUGUUGUCUGCCUAUCGGAUUUGCCUGAUGAUAGGCCUUCCAGUGAUGAGCUUGUAACCAUGUUAACCCAGCUGCAUAGUUUCUAAUGGAAAUGGUAAAAACAAGAAGAAGUUCCCACAGCAAGAAUUCCAAAGUCUUACCAUGCACCGGGAGUAGAGAAACAUUCAGAUUCUACAUCCGAAGGCAGGGUUUUUCUAGACUCAGCUGUCAACAUCGGAUAUGGAAGCAGAGCAAAGCAAGAGAAAAGCUGAAGAGGAGGAAACUAGACCGAGCAUUAGAGUCAGUUCAACUCCACGUCCUCGGGCAGUCAUAUCUAGUAUGGUGAUUCUAAAUGAAACUUACAAGACUACAAGUAAAUAAAAUGGAAAGAAUUAUUCUGUUCUUAAAACUCCAAUUGCAGACAACAAACCAAUCCACAAGCUAAGAUCAGCAAAGAUUUUGAGCCGAGGGUCAGUGUUGGGCUAACCCCUUAACCCAUUUUUGAGGGUUUAAAUCUAUACCAACAACCGUGAGCCAUUAAAUUUUCCUGCUUAAACGGGUUUAAAUUUGAAGCAUAAGUUGCUAUCUGUCGAGUUCUAAGCUGGGGUUGUUUUCAAUAAUCAAUGACAAAAUACUUGGGCGUUUUUAUAGUAAAAGAAAAUCUAAGCAAAUGAGCUGAUUGGAGAACUCUAGAGACACCACCACCUCAAACUAGAUAAUGUUCACCUUAUCCACUCCAUUUUUAAAAUAUCUUCCCAUCAACCUUAUCUACUAUUCAUAUGCCAUUAAUAAAUUCAGCUGGUUUUUACACUUAAUUUUCGUACUUGCAGCGUCACACACGAUCCCGUACCAAAAAAUGCAGGCAGCCUUGAGCUUGGCACCUUCACCUCUCUCCAUAGUUACAACUACAAAACCCUUUCCGCCAUGUAAAUCCAUGCUAAAAUUGCAGACUCCAAGAGGUUUCAAAGCAACACCUGUUGGACAGGAUAACUCCACAGUUGAUUACAGCUCCACGGCCU